Molecule: ribosomal RNA, 256 nt
Filed under: uncultured bacterium
Lineage: Bacteria
Description: partial 16S ribosomal RNA
Rfam family: Bacterial small subunit ribosomal RNA
Source: RNAcentral
UACGUAGGUGGCAAGCGUUGUCCGGAUUUACUGGGCGUAAAGAGCGCGCAGGCGGUCGUUCAAGUCGCGUGUGAAAGCCCCCCGGCUCAACUGGGGAGGGUCACGCGAUACUGAUCGACUCGAAGGCAGGAGAGGGAAGUGGAAUUCCCGGUGUAGUGGUGAAAUGCGUAGAUAUCGGGAGGAACACCAGUGGCGAAGGCGACUUCCUGGCCUGUUCUUGACGCUGAGGCGCGAAAAGCUAGGGGAGCAAACAGGG